This 253-nucleotide ribosomal RNA is filed under the name uncultured bacterium. RNAcentral describes it as "partial 16S ribosomal RNA". It matches the Rfam family "Bacterial small subunit ribosomal RNA", at positions 524 to 776 of the family's 1533-position model. The record is from RNAcentral.
UACGUAGGGUGCGAGCGUUGUCCGGAAUUAUUGGGCGUAAAGAGCUCGUAGGCGGUUUGUCACGUCUGCUGUGAAAUCCCGAGGCUCAACCUCGGGCCUGCAGUGGGUACGGGCAGACUGGAGUGCGGUAGGGGAGAAUGGAAUUCCUGGUGUAGCGGUGGAAUGCGCAGAUAUCAGGAGGAACACCAACGGCGAAGGCAGCUCGCUGGGACGGUACUGACGCUGAGACGCGAAAGCGUGGGGAGCGAACAGG